RNAcentral lists this ribosomal RNA (618 nucleotides) under uncultured bacterium. Its description in RNAcentral is "bacterial SSU rRNA". It matches the Rfam family "Bacterial small subunit ribosomal RNA", at positions 335 to 944 of the family's 1533-position model. The record is from RNAcentral.
ACUCCUACGGGAGGCAGCAGUGGGGAAUAUUGGACAAUGGGCGCAAGCCUGAUCCAGCCAUACCGCGUGGGUGAAGAAGGCCUUCGGGUUGUAAAGCCCUUUUGUUGGGAAAGAAAUCCAGCUGGCUAAUACCCGGUUGGGAUGACGGUACCCAAAGAAUAAGCACCGGCUAACUUCGUGCCAGCAGCCGCGGUAAUACGAAGGGUGCAAGCGUUACUCGGAAUUACUGGGCGUAAAGCGUGCGUAGGUGGUCGUUUAAGUCCGUUGUGAAAGCCCUGGGCUCAACCUGGGAACUGCAGUGGAUACUGGACGACUAGAGUGUGGUAGAGGGUAGCGGAAUUCCUGGUGUAGCAGUGAAAUGCGUAGAGAUCAGGAGGAACAUCCAUGGCGAAGGCAGCUACCUGGACCAACACUGACACUGAGGCACGAAAGCGUGGGGAGCAAUCAGGAUUAGAUACCCUGGUAGUCCACGCCCUAAACGAUGCGAACUGGAUGUUGGGUGCAAUUUGGCACGCAGUAUCGAAGCUAACGCGUUAAGUUCGCCGCCUGGGGAGUACGGUCGCAAGACUGAAACUCAAAGGAAUUGACGGGGGCCCCCACAAGCGGUGGAGCAUGUGG